RNAcentral lists this small nucleolar RNA (83 nucleotides) under Gossypium arboreum. RNAcentral describes it as "Plant small nucleolar RNA R71". It matches the Rfam family "Plant small nucleolar RNA R71", at positions 1 to 83 of the family's 107-position model. Rfam says of the family: R71 is a member of the C/D box family of snoRNAs containing the C (UGAUGA) and D (CUGA) box motifs. Multiple nearly identical copies of this snoRNA have been identified in Arabidopsis, and it is thought to function as a 2'-O-ribose methylation guide for 18S ribosomal RNA. The record is from Rfam by way of RNAcentral. Lineage: Eukaryota; Viridiplantae; Streptophyta; Magnoliopsida; Malvales; Malvaceae.
AACCCAAGAUGAGGGCACCUUCUCAGUAAGUCCUUGUAUCUCUCCCAUGCAUCGUAAAGUGUUUCUAAAUCCAUCUGGACAAA